CAAUUAUUAGUCGAUUAUAUUACCGUUUUUAUUCAUAGGACAAACACUCGAUCCGUUUUUAGGGGUCCAUAUUUUUACAACCUCUAAUCAAGCCAAAGAGUACCAAAAAUUGAACAUACACAUUGUAAAUCACUGUAUAAAUCCAUUCUUUUGCGUUUGAAUUACAAAUCCUCGCUGAAACGAAGAAAAAAGCACUCGGCAGCGAUCGAAUCCAAAUGUCCAGUUGUACUUACCUAGAUUGUAGCCAGGCCUUCAUGAUUAAUUAAAAUGAAAAAUGAGAAAAUGAAAAAGCUAGGAACACACAAAGCAAAAGAUAGGCGACCAGCAAACGGAGAGAGGACACGUUAAUGGCCUAAAAAAUAGGACAAAGAAAAUGUUGGUAAAGGAUAACUAAGAUGAGCUGGGAAAACAAAAGCACUUAGUGCAAUUCGUUACGGAACCGAAGCAGCCAAAAAAAUGGAAUGAUGAUUGUUUAGUGAUUGACGUAAUGCAAAACGCUAUAAUACUUUUAUGAGAUACAACGUAUAAGAAGGUGGUUUUAGCAUUGUCUUGGGUUCCUCAUCAUUCCGUAUGCUCCCGUUGUCGUAGUG
This is a non-coding RNA of Schizosaccharomyces pombe (fission yeast), 590 nucleotides long. The record is from the annotation of a GenBank genome assembly. Lineage: Eukaryota; Fungi; Ascomycota; Schizosaccharomycetes; Schizosaccharomycetales; Schizosaccharomycetaceae.